Stegostoma tigrinum is the source of this 1715-nucleotide long non-coding RNA. RefSeq lists it as uncharacterized. The transcript is spliced from 9 exons. Lineage: Eukaryota; Metazoa; Chordata; Chondrichthyes; Orectolobiformes; Stegostomatidae. The record is from RefSeq and is a predicted model, not a curated record.
CUGCAUCCCAAAACCAGUCCAACCUGUCUCUGCCUCCCUAACCUGUUCUUCCUCUCAGCCAUCCCUUCCUCCCACCCCAAGCCGCACCCCCAGCUACCUACUAACCUCAUCCCACCUCCUUGACCUGUCCGUCUUCCCUGGACUGACCUUUUCUCUCCUCUCCACCUUCGGUCCGCCUCCCCCUCUCUCCCUAUUUAUUCCAGUUCCCUCUCCCCGUCCCCCUCUCUGAUGAAGGGUCUAGGCCCGAAACGUCAGCUUUUGUGCUCCUGAGAUGCUGCUUGGCCUGCUGUGCUCAUCCAGCCUCACAUUUUAUUAUUUUAGGAGAGAGAGCUGUUUUGGUUUGUGAUACAAGAGACGAGGCUGUCUAUGCCUUUCACCCAUCGGUAGCUCUCCUCCUGUCCCUGCCUCUGUGCACACACUCUGCCAGGCAUAGUCUUCCUCCCUCUGUGUGUGUGUGUGUGUGUGUCUCUCUCUCGCUUCAGCUCCUAAAACCUAAGAUGCAUCGGAUAUAAAAACACGCACAUAAACACACACACACACACACACACACACACACAUCAACAAGCCAUGGAGAAAGAUCAGGAAUUACUGCAAGCUGUCAAAACCGAAGAUGUAGCUGCAAUGCAGAAGCUGUUGCAAAGGCCGAAACAAGGCAAAGCGAGACACAAUCAUCGCCUUGGAAGCUUCAUCACGAUAUUACUUUGCAUUUCUGAAGAGGGAAGAAGAAAUCAACAUGAAAAUUCAAUUCCAUGGUUUUGGAAGUCCCAUUGAGAACACGAUUCAUUUGCGCCGGCAUAAUGCUCUGACCGAGAAAGAAUUGAAGUUUCCACUUGGAAGAAAGAUUCACAUCAAAUUGACUGGUCAAGGAAAUGGGACACUGACUAACCAUACGAUGAGACUGUUUUGAUGAGAAAUUUAAAGAUUACGUGUCCCAUCCGUUUGACUCACAGUUUGGUACCAUAGGUUGGUACGAUCUUCGUUCGAGAAGGAAAAGGGAUGUUCCAGAUACAGAAAACCGUCAAACCAUUUACAACAAAGUCCAUUUCUGAACCAUACGAUGAGACUGUUUUGAUGAGGAAUUGAAAGAUUAUGUGUCCCAUCCAUUUGACUCACAGUUUGGUACCAUAGGUUGGUACGAUCUUCGUUCGAGCAGGAAAAGGGAUGUUCCAGAUACAGAAAAUCGUCAAACCAUUUACGACAAAGUCCGUUUCUGGACACAAUCAUCGCCUUGGAAGCUUCAUCACGAUACUACUUUGCAUUUCUGAAGAGGGAAGAAGAAAUCAACAUGAAAAUUCAAUUCCAUGGUUUUGGAAGUCCCAUUGAGAACACGAUUCAUUUGCGCCGGCACAAUGCUCUGACCGAGAAAGAAUUGAAGUUUCCACUUGGAAGAAAGAUUCACAUCAAAUUGACUGGUGAAGGAAAUGGGACACUGACUAACCAUACGAUGAGACUGUUUUGAUGAGGAAUUGAAAGAUUAUGUGUCCCAUCCGUUUGACUCACAGUUUGGUACCAUAGGUUGGUACGAUCUUCGUUCGAGAAGGAAAAGGGAUGUUCCAGAUACAGAAAAUCGUCAAACCAUUUACUACAAAGUCCGUUUCUGGGUGGAGUUAGUGGAACCGAAAAAGAUGUCUCCCUCACAGAGUUUGUGACAAAAGAAUUGCAUCGUUCCUUGGCGGCCUUUCAACAGAAGAAUAUUCAGAGAUUUCCCGAGUGGU